This 208-nucleotide ribosomal RNA is filed under the name Mesodinium pulex. Its description in RNAcentral is "partial Bacterial small subunit ribosomal RNA". It matches the Rfam family "Bacterial small subunit ribosomal RNA", at positions 43 to 254 of the family's 1533-position model. The record is from RNAcentral. Lineage: Eukaryota; Ciliophora; Litostomatea; Cyclotrichida; Mesodiniidae.
CAGGCCUAACACAUGCAAGUCGAGCGCGAAAUUUCCUUCGGGAAUGAGUAGAGCGGCGGACGGGUGAGUAACGCGUAGGAAUCUACCUAGUAGUGGGGGACAACAAUCGGAAACGGUUGCUAAUACCGCAUAAGCCCUACGGGGGAAAGCAGGGGAUCUUCGGACCUUGCGCUAUUGGAUGAGCCUGCGUCGGAUUAGCUAGUUGGUG